RNAcentral lists this ribosomal RNA (1802 nucleotides) under Escherichia coli. RNAcentral's name for it is "partial 23S ribosomal RNA". It matches the Rfam family "Bacterial large subunit ribosomal RNA", at positions 440 to 2227 of the family's 2925-position model. Lineage: Bacteria; Pseudomonadati; Pseudomonadota; Gammaproteobacteria; Enterobacterales; Enterobacteriaceae. The record is from RNAcentral.
GAAUAUGGGGGGACCAUCCUCCAAGGCUAAAUACUCCUGACUGACCGAUAGUGAACCAGUACCGUGAGGGAAAGGCGAAAAGAACCCCGGCGAGGGGAGUGAAAAAGAACCUGAAACCGUGUACGUACAAGCAGUGGGAGCACGCUUAGGCGUGUGACUGCGUACCUUUUGUAUAAUGGGUCAGCGACUUAUAUUCUGUAGCAAGGUUAACCGAAUAGGGGAGCCGAAGGGAAACCGAGUCUUAACUGGGCGUUAAGUUGCAGGGUAUAGACCCGAAACCCGGUGAUCUAGCCAUGGGCAGGUUGAAGGUUGGGUAACACUAACUGGAGGACCGAACCGACUAAUGUUGAAAAAUUAGCGGAUGACUUGUGGCUGGGGGUGAAAGGCCAAUCAAACCGGGAGAUAGCUGGUUCUCCCCGAAAGCUAUUUAGGUAGCGCCUCGUGAAUUCAUCUCCGGGGGUAGAGCACUGUUUCGGCAAGGGGGUCAUCCCGACUUACCAACCCGAUGCAAACUGCGAAUACCGGAGAAUGUUAUCACGGGAGACACACGGCGGGUGCUAACGUCCGUCGUGAAGAGGGAAACAACCCAGACCGCCAGCUAAGGUCCCAAAGUCAUGGUUAAGUGGGAAACGAUGUGGGAAGGCCCAGACAGCCAGGAUGUUGGCUUAGAAGCAGCCAUCAUUUAAAGAAAGCGUAAUAGCUCACUGGUCGAGUCGGCCUGCGCGGAAGAUGUAACGGGGCUAAACCAUGCACCGAAGCUGCGGCAGCGACGCUUAUGCGUUGUUGGGUAGGGGAGCGUUCUGUAAGCCUGUGAAGGUGUGCUGUGAGGCAUGCUGGAGGUAUCAGAAGUGCGAAUGCUGACAUAAGUAACGAUAAAGCGGGUGAAAAGCCCGCUCGCCGGAAGACCAAGGGUUCCUGUCCAACGUUAAUCGGGGCAGGGUGAGUCGACCCCUAAGGCGAGGCCGAAAGGCGUAGUCGAUGGGAAACAGGUUAAUAUUCCUGUACUUGGUGUUACUGCGAAGGGGGGACGGAGAAGGCUAUGUUGGCCGGGCGACGGUUGUCCCGGUUUAAGCGUGUAGGCUGGUUUUCCAGGCAAAUCCGGAAAAUCAAGGCUGAGGCGUGAUGACGAGGCACUACGGUGCUGAAGCAACAAAUGCCCUGCUUCCAGGAAAAGCCUCUAAGCAUCAGGUAACAUCAAAUCGUACCCCAAACCGACACAGGUGGUCAGGUAGAGAAUACCAAGGCGCUUGAGAGAACUCGGGUGAAGGAACUAGGCAAAAUGGUGCCGUAACUUCGGGAGAAGGCACGCUGAUAUGUAGGUGAAGUCCCUCGCGGAUGGAGCUGAAAUCAGUCGAAGAUACCAGCUGGCUGCAACUGUUUAUUAAAAACACAGCACUGUGCAAACACGAAAGUGGACGUAUACGGUGUGACGCCUGCCCGGUGCCGGAAGGUUAAUUGAUGGGGUCAGCGCAAGCGAAGCUCUUGAUCGAAGCCCCGGUAAACGGCGGCCGUAACUAUAACGGUCCUAAGGUAGCGAAAUUCCUUGUCGGGUAAGUUCCGACCUGCACGAAUGGCGUAAUGAUGGCCAGGCUGUCUCCACCCGAGACUCAGUGAAAUUGAACUCGCUGUGAAGAUGCAGUGUACCCGCGGCAAGACGGAAAGACCCCGUGAACCUUUACUAUAGCUUGACACUGAACAUUGAGCCUUGAUGUGUAGGAUAGGUGGGAGGCUUAGAAGUGUGGACGCCAGUCUGCAUGGAGCCGACCUUGAAAUACCACCCUUUAAUGUUUGAUGUUCUAACG